This is a non-coding RNA of Acanthosepion pharaonis, 112 nucleotides long. The record is from the annotation of a GenBank genome assembly. Lineage: Eukaryota; Metazoa; Mollusca; Cephalopoda; Sepiida; Sepiidae.
UUACAGCCAUAUCACGUUGGAACACCGUUUCCUGUACGAUCACUGAACUUAAGCAACAUCAAACCAAGGCAGUACUUAGAUGGGUGACCGUUUCGGAAUACCAUGUGCAGUA